GACGAACGCUGGCGGCGUGCUUAACACAUGCCAGUCGAACGGAAAGGCCCCUUUGGGGGUACUCGAGUGGCGAACGGGUGAGUAACACGUGAGUAACCUGCCCUUGACUUCGGGAUAACUUCAGGAAACUGGGGCUAAUACCGGAUAGGAAUCCUUGCUGCAUGGUGGGGGUUGGAAAGCUUCGGCGGUUUUGGAUGGACUCGCGGCUUAUCAGCUUGUUGGUGGGGUAGUGGCUUACCAAGGCUUUGACGGGUAGCCGGCCUGAGAGGGCGACCGGCCACAUUGGGACUGAGAUACGGCCCAGACUCCUACGGGAGGCAGCAGGGGGGAAUAUUGCACAAUGGGCGGAAGCCUGAUGCAGCAACGCCGCGUGCGGGAUGACGGCCUUCGGGUUGUAAACCGCUUUCAGCAGGGGCGAAGCUUGUGGUGACGGUACCUGCAGAAGAAGCACCGGCUAACUACGUG
Molecule: ribosomal RNA, 465 nt
Filed under: uncultured bacterium
Lineage: Bacteria
Description: partial 16S ribosomal RNA
Rfam family: Bacterial small subunit ribosomal RNA
Source: RNAcentral